GAUCCUGGCUCAGGAUGAACGCUGGCGGCGUGCUUAACACAUGCAAGUCGAACGGGAAAUAUUUUAUUGAAGCUUCGGCAGAUUUAGCUUGUUUCUAGUGGCGGACGGGUGAGUAACGCGUGGGCAACCUGCCUUAUACUGGGGGAUAACAGCCAGAAAUGACUGCUAAUACCGCAUAAGCGCACAGAACCGCAUGGUUCGGUGUGAAAAACUCCGGUGGUAUAAGAUGGACCCGCGUUGGAUUAG
RNAcentral lists this ribosomal RNA (246 nucleotides) under uncultured bacterium. Its description in RNAcentral is "partial 16S ribosomal RNA". It matches the Rfam family "Bacterial small subunit ribosomal RNA", at positions 15 to 244 of the family's 1533-position model. The record is from RNAcentral.